CCCUUAGAUGUCCUGGGCCGCACGCGCGCUACACUGAUGCAUUCAACGAGUAUUUCCUUGGCCGAGAGGCCUGGACAAUCUUUUAAACCUGCAUCGUGAUAGGGAUAGAUUAUUGCAAUUAUUAAUCUUGAACGAGGAAUUCCUAGUAAACGCAAAUCAUCAAUUUGCAUUGAUUACGUCCCUGCCCUUUGUACACACCGCCCGUCGCACCUACCGAUUGAAUGGUCCGGUGAAAUCUCGGGAUUGUGGCCAGUUCACUUUAUUGGGAGUUGGCUGCGAGAACUUGCUUAAACCUUAUCAUUUAGAGGAAGGUGAAGUCGUAACA
This 325-nucleotide ribosomal RNA is filed under the name uncultured eukaryote. Its description in RNAcentral is "partial 18S ribosomal RNA". It matches the Rfam family "Eukaryotic small subunit ribosomal RNA", at positions 1470 to 1796 of the family's 1831-position model. The record is from RNAcentral.